This 217-nucleotide long non-coding RNA is filed under the name Setaria viridis. Its description in RNAcentral is "long non-coding RNA (SVIR_LNC009763)". Lineage: Eukaryota; Viridiplantae; Streptophyta; Magnoliopsida; Poales; Poaceae. The record is from RNAcentral.
AUUAUUCCCUAUAUAUUAGAGGAGUACGCGGAUGGGACAUUCAUACUAUUCAAGCAAACAAGCAUGCUUUCUUUAUCCUCUUCAGUGAGAGUGUAGCUGGCAGGACAUAAGUAGUGUUGUCCGUUCUUUCUCUUUUCCAGAUGUAGGUCCUCUCGUUGUUCUGUACAUUUGAACUCCUGCCUUACUUCCAAUGUAUCCUUUGGCACCCCAUAAACAC